Molecule: ribosomal RNA, 492 nt
Filed under: uncultured bacterium
Lineage: Bacteria
Description: partial 16S ribosomal RNA
Rfam family: Bacterial small subunit ribosomal RNA
Source: RNAcentral
AGUGAACGCUGGCGGUAGGCCUAACACAUGCAAGUCGAACGGCAGCACAGUAAGAUCUUGCUCUUACGGGUUGCGAGUGGCGGACGUGUGAGGAAUACAUCGGAAUCUACUUUUUCGUGGGGGAUAACGUAGGGAAACUUACUCUAAUACCGCAUACGACCUACGGGUGAAAGCAGGGGAUCUUCUGACCUUGCGCGAUUGAAUGAGCCGAUGUCGGAUUAGCUAGUUGGCGGGGUAAAUGCCCACCAAGUCGACGAUCCGUAGCUUGUCUGAGAGGAUGAUCAGCCACACUGGAACUGAGACACGGUCCAGACUACUACGGGAGGGAGCAGUGGGGAAUAUUGGACAAUGGGCGCAAGCAUGAUCCAGCCAUACCGCGUGGGUGAAGAAGGCGUUCGGGUUGUAAAGACCUUUUGUUGGGAAAGAAAAGCAGCAGGUUAAUACGCAGCUGUUCUGACGGUAACCAAAGAAUAAGCACCGGCUAACUUCGUG